AUGAUUCCGGAAGAGACUAGCAAAACAAACCGAAAGACGCGGGGAACGAACGGAAAUGGAGCGACGUCACCGCAGCAGGGCAGAAAAACGGAGGAAGAGAAACACGGAAAGUUUGCGGCAAAACUACUAAAGAAAUACAGUUCCAGAUGUCUGGACGUGACUGUGAUGGUGAAGAGAAGAUCGAGCUCGAGGAGAAGACGUUACAAGUGGGUCUUUAUAAGAAGUGAUGCCUGUGUCUUUCAAUUAAUAAUCGAAAUAAGAAGCCUAUUGUUUUGGUCCGCACAAGGCCUAAUUGACUGCCUUCACGUGAAACAUUAGGUUAUACUCAAUUACAUUUUUGGCCAUGCUUACAAUUAUUGCAUUUGGGGGGAAAUUAUGUAUGUGAUUCAUAACCACGAGAGCAAAAAGAAAAAAAGAAAACUGUGGCGAUGUCAGGUCAUGAAGGUGCAGCGUCUGGUUGCUCCUCCAAAUUAUGCUACAUUAAAAAAACAAAACAAAAAAUGCCUGUAGCAGAAACACUGCCAUCAGACUUUGAGACCAUCACAGCUUGCAGCAUCUUCAACCAUUCAACUGGCCGGACCGCCACAGCGAGGAAGAAUAACAGCCGUGCCAAACGAUCUUUUUUUAAGGCUGCCCCUGGCUAGUGACUGGUGACAGGAAAAGGAAAUGGACAAUAUCAAGCUGCUGGACUCGAUGGAUGCACCGUGUUCAGAGCUGGCAGAGCUCAGGACUACAGCUGGACGAGGAGAAGUGGACUCUGUGUUUAUAACAUUGAUGCUUGGUGCUCACACCUCAGCCAACGUUGAUGGACAGUGUAUCUCAGAUUUUAACUUUUGCUAUGAAGAUGCCAUCCACAUCAUCAUCAUCAUAUGGUUGCUGUUGCUUACAUUCACCCUGUCGCAUAUUCAAAAGAUGGCCUAUGUGUUCAUGUAUAUUUUGUACAUGGAUAAUUAUAUAUAGUUCUGUAAUUUGUGCAGCAUGAAAGCUUUUGUAAGAAAGUUGAAUUAAACAAAUAUACUUAUACAUGCUCUGCUAUGUUGAGGUUAAUACUCUUGCAAAGUUUGCCACAACACCGCGGUGGCACCUCUGACAUCAUUGUAAUGUAAUGGGCUCUACGCUGAAAUAUUAAUGGCCCAGCCCCAUAUGAGACCCAUGGAAACAUCUUAAUUGAAGUAGAGCCCUCUCUUGUUAUUAUCUAUAAUUGGAUUAUUAUGUGCAUGCAAACAUAGUCCAGGGGUUCAGGGUCGUAAUAUAUAAAAAGCAGACCGUGGUUACAGCAACAAAGUAGUAACCAUAAAACCUUUCUGUUCAGUUAAGACCACCAUAAUUGACUUGGUAAUUCUAUUCCAGGGAUUAAGAGUAAAACUAAAAGACAAAGAACAGAAGGCAGUAAACAGUGACUUUGUCCUUAAACUUAAGCACAAGGCAUUUCUUAAGAUUUUGACACUUAAAGGUCAGAUUACUUUUCAUGGGGACUAGUGUUUAGUCCAUGAAAACAGUUGUAUAAUGCUUGCUGUGGCUCCGAAAGAGAUUUGUCAAGUGUGGGAAAAUAAUCCCUUCUGAUGUCAUGAGGGUUAUGUCAGUUCAAUCCCCCAAAACUCACGUGGAAUGGAUAAUUAUGUGACUAUAGAGCACGUACAGUGAUGAUAUUUGGUGUUUAGGUUCUGACCUCGUCACUCUCCACAAAGAAAAAAAAAAACACUGAUCCCAGCACAGCAGCAAGGGGAGUGAUGAUGAUAACUGUGCUCUAGGGGAUGACUCAGAGCCUGCAGGUGGAGGCUGGGGUGGAGGUGGGGCUUCAAAUGCUUCGUGCACAGCAGCAGUGGAGGCAGCGGGAGCAGCAAGUGACACCACAGCCUUCAGAUGAGCUGGCAAGGCAGCAAAAGACUGAGCAGAGGAAUGAAGGCUUGAAAGAGCAGCAUUUUUCAGUUUAGAAAUAUAAAGGGCGUCAGGAUCGAUCCAGCAGACACUGAGGUAUAUUUAGUCUACAAAUUGUUUGUCCUAGUGGAAACCUUCUUCCUCGGAAACUCAACAGCCACUUAAGGACAUUUUCAUUCUUCACACAGCUGCUUGUGAAGACACAAGCGACUUAGUGCACCUAUCAAGAACACCGGAGAGCGUUAUGAAGGUGUAUUAAGUUCAUAGAUUAACUUAUGAUAAAUAAUCAAGUUUGCUGAGGACCAUUUUAAUGAAGCAAACAGAAACAAAUAAGCAAAUGAUUAAAUUAAUGAAUAAUAAGAAGAAACAUAUCUAAAAACAAGUUUACGUAAUAACUAAGUGCAACAAUAAUUCCUUAAAAAGGCUUGAUGUGGAUUUAAUAUAACACAAUGUCUGUGAUUAACAAGCAGGCCCUGAAGGCACCAUGUAGACUGCGGUCAGUUGAUGGAUUUGGGGAACUUGUUUCCGGCAGGACAUAGUCUGGCAAAAUUUGAGUUUCAGAGUCGAGAAGGAGGCCUGGUUUAAUGUUUGAAAGAGUUUUUCUGACAUGUCAACAUGUGACAGGUUUAAUAUUCAAAAUAAAAGUGAUGAAGUUGUGACACGGUGGUGGCAGACAUGGUUGGAGGUUUGGAGGUCCCAAAAAUUAGGCAGUGACAUCAGGCCAUGAACAUUUGUGUUGUGGCUUCUAUCUCAGUUUCAGAAUCAUUACACCACUAAUAUUGUGGAACAACCCACUGAACUAGCCCUCGGGGUUCACCUACUUAUGGGAUGGUGGACUACAAAUCUUUACCAGUGAGCCUGUUGAGAAGCUGGGGUCAAAAUUUGGAAAAUGUGUUAAUUAAUGUAGUUAAACAACAGUGAUUGUACAGAGUUGUAUUAUUUGAACUGUUGCUUCGCUGUUUUGAAAAAUAAAUCUUGAAUCCGCUGAAGAAUA
Acanthopagrus latus (yellowfin seabream) is the source of this 2872-nucleotide long non-coding RNA. RefSeq lists it as uncharacterized. Lineage: Eukaryota; Metazoa; Chordata; Actinopteri; Spariformes; Sparidae. The record is from RefSeq and is a predicted model, not a curated record. The transcript has 2 exons.